This 514-nucleotide ribosomal RNA is filed under the name uncultured bacterium. RNAcentral describes it as "partial 16S ribosomal RNA". It matches the Rfam family "Bacterial small subunit ribosomal RNA", at positions 28 to 523 of the family's 1533-position model. The record is from RNAcentral.
GAUGAACGCUGGCGGCGUGCCUAAUACAUGCAAGUCGAGCGAACAGAUGAGAAGCUUGCUUCUCUGAUGUUAGCGGCGGACGGGUGAGUAACACGUGGGUAACCUACCUAUAAGACUGGGAUAACUCCGGGAAACCGGGGCUAAUACCGGAUAAUAUUUUGAACCGCAUGGUUCAAUAGUGAAAGACGGUUUCGGCUGUCACUUAUAGAUGGACCCGCGCCGUAUUAGCUAGUUGGUAAGGUAACGGCUUACCAAGGCGACGAUACGUAGCCGACCUGAGAGGGUGAUCGGCCACACUGGAACUGAGACACGGGCCAGACGCCUACGGGAGGCAGCAGUAGGAAAUCUUCCGCAAUGGGCGAAAGCCUGACGGAGCAACGCCGCGUGAGUGAUGAAGGUCUUCGGAUCGUAAAACUCUGUUGUUAGGGAAGAACAAAUUUGUUAGUAACUGAACAAGUCUUGACGGUACCUAACCAGAAAGCCACGGCUAACUACGUGCCAGCAGCCGCCGUAA